Molecule: unclassified non-coding RNA, 138 nt
Filed under: uncultured Tremellales
Lineage: Eukaryota; Fungi; Basidiomycota; Tremellomycetes; Tremellales
Description: sequence contains ITS1
Source: RNAcentral
UUGAAAUCGUAGUCGUAAGACUCACAACCUUGCAAACCUGUGAACUGUAAGGCUGUCUUGAAAACGAAAGUGAUUAGAGCGCCUGCCCAUUUUAUACAAACAUUAAAGUAACAAACGUAGUCUUAUUAUAAUCUAAUA